This 82-nucleotide small RNA is filed under the name Kaistella chaponensis. RNAcentral's name for it is "Chryseobacterium chaponense Flavo-1 RNA". It matches the Rfam family "Flavo-1 RNA". Lineage: Bacteria; Pseudomonadati; Bacteroidota; Flavobacteriia; Flavobacteriales; Weeksellaceae. The record is from RNAcentral.
UGAUAGCCCCGAUCGCAACGGCAUCCUUUUUCUUUUUUUUCUCCGAAAAAAGAAAAAGAUAGAGUGUAGAGCGGGACUUACC